RNAcentral lists this ribosomal RNA (442 nucleotides) under uncultured bacterium. RNAcentral's name for it is "bacterial SSU rRNA". It matches the Rfam family "Bacterial small subunit ribosomal RNA", at positions 958 to 1399 of the family's 1533-position model. The record is from RNAcentral.
AACGCGAAGAACCUUACCUGGGUUUGACAUCCUCUGACAUCCGUAGAGAUACGGCUUCUUACGCAAGUAAGCAGAGAGACAGGUGCUGCAUGGCUGUCGUCAGCUCGUGUGGUGACAUGUUGGGUUAAGUCCCGCAACGAGCGCAACCCUUGUCCUUAGUUGCCAGCAUUCAGUUGGGCUCUCUAAGGAGACUGCCGUGGUGAACACGGAGGAAGGUGGGGAUGACGUCAAGUCCUCAUGGCCUUUAUAUCCAGGGCGACACACGUGAUACAAUGGAUGGUACAGAGGGAAGCCAAAGCGCAAGCUGGAGCCAAUCUCAAAAAGCCAUUCUCAGUUCGGAUUGGAGUCUGCAAUUCGACUCCAUGAAGUUGGAAUCGCUAGUAAUCGCGGAUCAGCACGCCGCGGUGAAUACGUUCCCGGGCCUUGUACACACCGACGCGUA